CCCUUAGAUGUUCUGGGCCGCACGCGCGCUACACUGACGGAGUCAACGAGUUGUCCUGCAUCGGAAGGUGUGGGUAAUCUUUUGAAACUUCGUCGUGCUGGGGAUAGAUCUUUGCAAUUUUCGAUCUUGAACGAGGAAUUCCUAGUAAGCGUGAUUCAUCAGAUCGCGUUGAUUACGUCCCUGCCCUUUGUACACACCGCCCGUCGCUACUACCGAUUGAAUGGUUUAGUGAGGCCUCGGGACUGGCGCGCUCGAGUAGCAAUACACCUGCGCGCCGGGAACUUGGUCAAACUUGAUCAUUUAGAGGAAGCAAAAGUCGUAACA
Molecule: ribosomal RNA, 324 nt
Filed under: uncultured eukaryote
Lineage: Eukaryota
Description: partial 18S ribosomal RNA
Rfam family: Eukaryotic small subunit ribosomal RNA
Source: RNAcentral